This 424-nucleotide ribosomal RNA is filed under the name uncultured bacterium. Its description in RNAcentral is "partial 16S ribosomal RNA". It matches the Rfam family "Bacterial small subunit ribosomal RNA", at positions 360 to 776 of the family's 1533-position model. The record is from RNAcentral.
AAUAUUGGACAAUGGGCGAAAGCCUGAUCCAGCCAUGCCGCGUGUGUGAAGAAGGUCUUCGGAUUGUAAAGCACUUUAAGUUGGGAGGAAGGGGUUGAGGCUAAUACCUUCAAUCUUUGACGCUACCAACAGACUAAGCACCUGCUAGCUCUGUGCCAGCAGCCGCGGUAAUCCAGAGGGUGCAAGCGUUAAGCGGCAUUACUGGGCGUAAAGCGCGCGUAGGUAGUUCAGUAAGAUGGGUGCGAAAUCCCCGGGCUUAACCUGGGAACUGCUUUCAUAACUGCUGAGCUAGAGUACGGUAGAGGGUAGUGGAAUUUCCUGUGUAGCGGUGAGAUGCGUAGAUAUAGGAAGGAACACCAGUGGCGAAGGCGACUACCUGGACUGAUACUGACACUGAGGUGCGAAAGCGUGGGGAGCAAACAGG